UUGACUGAGUUUCCUUUCGGAAAAAGCGAGUUAAAAUGGCAUGGUUUUCAAAUACAAGUUUCCUGGGAAAGUAAUUUUCAAGGACCACUUCCGAUUUGGACCGCGUUGGGCUCCAUAGCAACCCUGGGCGUUGACUGGCACGUGAUCUCGGUAUCCUGUGCAGUUCAGGGAAAGCGUACCAAAAAAAUUCCUGCCAAACGAGGGAAGCUGAUGUUUGGAGGUGGGAGUUCACCAGAAUACAGUUUCUUAUUUCCGUAGAUAAACUUACUUUUGUAACCUGACAUUAUAUUGUGAUUCCUGCUCAUAAAAUUUAGAAUAGAACGUUUGAUUUAUUAGAAAUAGAGAAAAACAAGAUGGAGUCACAGUGGCCAAUGUGGCAUCCAUCUUGAUUGUUCUUAAAGGUCUGAUGUUAAGACUUUGAGUAUGUAAGUUACGAUAACUGGAGUGUGAAGUUAGCCUAGGUUCCAUCCCGCACCAUGGGGGGGCCCUGUGCAUAUCGUGGAGGCCCAUCCCACAAGUGCAAGUUGUCGUCACUCACUCUCCUGUGAGCAGUCACCCCCUGACACACCUAAAAGGAGGACAGACACAGGGAAGAGACCCACUCAGUCAGGAAAAAGGAUCAGAAAGAGUUCAUAUUCGCACAAAAUGAAUAUCAGCAAGCAUUUGCAGUUUUGCAGGGCUAUGCUCACUCUUCAACCCCCCGUCAUAACACAGUCUGAAGAGGACUGGAGCACGUGGACAGCCUACGUAACCACACAUUGACCCAUUACGUCAACGAUAUGCUGCUCAGGCAGGAUGAGGAAGUGGUGAAGCGCACGCUAGAAGCUCCAGGCAGUGGCAGAGAAAUCCUAUGAAGAUUCAGUGACCUGCCACUUCUCUAAGGAUUCUGAAAGUCUGAUGGCCAGCAGCGUGCUGGGACAUGUCCUCCUAAUUAAAGACAACUUUCUGCACCUGGCAUCCCUUACUGGAAGAAAGGAAGCACAAAGCCCAUUAGGCUUCUUUAAGUUCUUGAAGAAACACAUUCUACACCAAAGAAAACUACCCCCACAUACUGGGCUGCAGGGAAGUCUGCCAGCUUUGCGUGGACCCGGAGAGGGAAAAAUAACGCUGCAGUAUGUCCAGCCUGUGAUAUCAACAGCACUGCUGCCUGGACCUCACAAUCUGGCAGGUCCUAUAGUGUUGGAGUGUCAGCGAUGGAACAAUAUGUCGUGUGGCAUUUAUGGCAAGUCUCAAUAAAAGAAUCACAAAGAAGACCCCUGGGAUUAUGGAACAAGGUAAUGCCAACUGCUGGGAAGAAUUACUCCUUUUGAAAAACAGCUCCUAGCUUGCUACUGGGCCUUGGUAGAGAUACUAAGUGACCUUGGGCUCAGAUUGGCCAUCACGAGCUAGGUCCUACUGGACAGAUCAGUUUAUACAGGCAGACCCAGCAUCAGAGUCAUCAUAGGAUAAAACAGGUGCAUCUGGGACUAAGCAUAAGCAGGACCAGGAGGUACAAGAAGCUGUAAGAGCAUGUAGCCCAGAUCUCCAUGUCACUCAUUACGGUUGCACUGGCCCCCCUCCCCCAGCCUAGACCUGUGGCUGUGUGAGGGGGAUCCCACAUAACCAGCAAAAGGAAGAAGAAGAAGAAUACACUGGGCUCAUUGGUGGGUCACUUCAGUAUGUGGGUACAAGCUGAAAACGGGUGGUGGCUGUAUUACAGUCUCGCUCAGAGGAGGCCUUGAAAAACAGUGAUGAAGGAAAAUCUCACCAACAGGAGGAGCUUUGAGGUGUGCACCUGGUCAUCCACUUGGUGCGGAAGGAGAAUGGACCAAGGUUACAACAAAUGUGGACUCAUGCACAGUGAUGAGUGGCCUGGCUGGUGGGCGGAGGACCUGAAGAAAAAGACUGUAAAAUCAGAAACAAGAAGAUUUGAAGUAGAGGCAUGUGGAUGAACAUAGGGGAGUGGACACAAAGUGGGAAGUUGGUUGUCUCACAUGUUAAGGCCCACAAGUAAGCAUCUAUCAUGAAAGGUGUGCCAACUAGACAAAAUAAUAUGGCUGGUUAAUGCAGCCAGCCUUGGUCAGAGCCCCUCUCUCACCACUGCUGCAUGCUGGGAACCUGAACAAAGAGGCUAGGGUGGCAGAGAUGGAGGCAAUAAAAAAACCUAACAGCUUGGACUGUCAUUUACCAAAAUGAAUACAGCUACUGCCACCUCUAAAUGUCCAGUCUGCCCGCCAUAAAGGCAAAUGCUAAGCUCUAUUCCUUAAUAGGAUACUCGGUGACCAGUUGACUACAUUGGGCCUUGUUUUUUUUUCCUGGAAGAGCCAGAGGUAUGCUCUUUCAGGAACUGACACUGAUUCCAGGUACAGGAUUGCUUUUCCUGCCUGCAGGACCUCAGUAGCCCCAGUCUCUGGGGACUUACAGAUUGCCUGAUCCACAGACAUGGAAUCCCACAUAAUACAGCAUCUGACCAGAAGCCUCUCUCCUUCACAGGAAAUAGGGGAGUGAGCCCACGAACAUGGGAUCUGCUGGUCUUAUCACACACCCAGUGACCUUGAAGUUACUGGAUAGACAAAAUAUUGGAAUGACUAGUUAAAGAUGCAGCUGAAGCUCCAGCAGGAGGCAACACAUUGCAAUGAUGACACUUCCUCCAGGACAUCAUGGUAUAUUCUUUCAAUCAGAUAGAUUAGUAUGGUGCUGUGUCUGCAACAGAAUCUUAAGUUUUUAAAAUAUUUAUUAUUAUUAUUUUUAAUGAAGGUACUGGGGAUUGAAUCCAGGGCCUUGUGCAUGCUAAAUAUGUGCUCUUCCACUGAGCUACUUCACUCACCCCCUCCAUCCCAACCAAUAGAAAGAAUACAUGUGUCUUCCACAAUGAGUGGGAGUAUGAGUGGCUCCAGUUAGCAUCAUUCCAAUGACCUAUUGGGGAGGGAGAAAUUUUCCUCUACCCUCCUGGCUGGUCUAAGAAUUAAAUUGACAUGAGACAGAUUAACAGGAGAAAAAUCAAAGUUUAAUAACAUAUAUACUUGGGAGAGACCCAGGAAAACUGAGUAACUCCUCAAAAUGGCUGAAACCCUCACUUUGAAUAACAUCCUCAGCUAAGGACAAAAGAGGGUGUUGGGAGUAGUGGUUUGGGACUUCGAGGGGGAGGAAGGCAAUCCACAUACAGGUGGAAAAGCAAAUAUUUGGUAAAUAAAUGUUUGCUGGGUCAUGCAGAGACAAUGGGAUGUGGAGUGGACUCUAAUCUCUAGACCCUGUUUAGAGUUUGCCCCACCAUAGCGAGCCCACGUUCUUUGCAGGUGUCUCUGGUGAUAGCUCUAUUCUGGGAACAGGCCCUCUAUCUAAAUUUUUUUUAGGCAAUUAGGGGGAAGGUCAUGUUACAGAAAUGACAGGCCAGCCAAGAGACAAGCACCACUCGGAGGGCUGGAGUACUCAGGUUUAUUAUGCCGGCGGGCUCAGUGGGGCUAUUGCUCUGGGGCUCUGAGCACUUCUAACACGUGUGCAUGAGGUUUUAUAGGGUAGAUUACAAGCUUGGGGUAUAUUGGACAAUAAGGUGCAAAGAGCUUAGCAACAUCACAAAAGGGAAGCAGGGAAUCAGUAAACUAGAACUUAUCUAAUAAGAACAGAUCAGUUACCGACACUAAUUAAACUUAGAUUUACGAGUUAGCCCAGCAGAACUCAGGUCAGUAAUCCGACACGUCUUAAACUCAGAUUUACGAGUAGGCCCAGCCCGGCUUUUCCUUCUCAGUCAAAGUUUCUUCCUGAGUCUUUUGGGCUUUGAUUAUUUUCAGCUCAAAAUGAUCUGCACAACAAAGAGACAUUUUAGGGUGGCAAGUUUUGCUCCCCUACAAACCCACUGGCCUUCCCUGUCCCCAAAAGUCUCAGCUCUGCAAAAUUAGGGGUCUUAGUCCCGGAAAGGGGCACUUUCUUGCCUGGGGACACAGAAAGAUCCCACUGGACUACAAGCUAUGGCUGCCACCAAUCACUUUGGCCUCCUAAUGGUGAGAGACCAGCAGGUAAGACAGGGAAUCAUUGUCUUACACAAGGUGAUUGACCUGUUCAGCAGGAGGAGGUAGGACUGCUGUUAGAGGGGAUGGGGAGGAAUAUGUGUGAACUCCAGUGAGAUUGGAGAGUCAGUUGGUAUUCCUUUGCCCCGCCAUGUCUGUGAACGGACAAGACAAGAGCAGCAGCCAUGCUCUGAGAAGGUUCUCAGACCUCUAAGGAAUGAGGAUUUGGGGUACCCACCCAGGUGAGCUACCAAGACCCCCUUAGGGUGAGGGGAAUUAGAAAUGGUUUGGGGGAUUGAGCCAAGAUGGUGGAGUAGAGAAACUCACAGCUCACCCUCUCCCACAAAUACACCAAGAAUUACAUCUACAAACCCAAUGAGUCGCACACAACACCUACUGAAUUCUGGCAGAGUGUCUCUUAUUUCAAAAUACAGGAUUAUCACAAAAUCAAGUGAGAAAAAAAAAGAAAAAAAUCGGUGCAGGACUGGUCCUACGGGGAGGGACGGCAUAGGAAGAAAGGCGCCCUCAUGCUGGGAUGUCCCCUCUCCAGCUGGGAGGUCAGCAGGGACCGAACAGGAGCUUCCAAGGCUCAGAGGAGAAAGUGGCAACUGAUUGGCAGACAGAACUAAGGGAAACAGACACUGAGGGUCCCUGUGAGCCCCAGCCCUAGACAUGAGCCAGCAGGGACUGGCUGCUGGAGAUCAGUGAUGAGCCGGGGAGAGGCUGGGGCCUACUGCGUGGAGGCAGCCUCAGAGGACUGGAGGGCGGUGUGAGCACUGGCUGGGGGUGUGCGCAGAACAGAACAGCCUGGGAUCCUCCCAUAAAAGAGCACCACUGCUGGUGUGUGUUGGCGGGGAGGGGCGCAGAGCAGCCAGGCCAUAACUGCUGUCUCCACUUGGCUCCAUUGCUGGUGUGUUCUCAUGAGAAGAAAGGUGGGGCUGGGUCAUAGCCAUCGCUGCUGAGAGGAAGCGGGGCUGAAAGCUGAGUCCAUCCCCAGGGGCCCUGCAAAUUCACCAGGCGGAACUGAGAUUUGUUUACAGCCUAAGGCAGAGCAAGUGGAUUUGCUCUCUUUGGACCCUUUGUGAACCUGCACCCCUAGGAUGAAGAGGCAGUGAGCAGAGUUCUAACGCAGGGUGGAGGUUUACGGAUAUUUACAACAAGCCAGUGUACCUUAUGUACGUGGAGGCAGGGCUGGGGUCUGCACUGAACCUGUGGUGCACCACAGAUUCAGAUGUGUGACUGCAUGCUUGCUAUGGUGGGUUCUAGUGCCGGACAUUGGUGGAUCUGCACUGGUGGUUCCUGGGAUUCAGAACCUACGGGACACCAGAGCAGGUGGCUGACAUUACCACAGCUUAGGCAAGAACAAAGGCAGUGUCAACAAAUAAUACUUUGUAAGCCUGCAUAACAAUGACAGACAACACCACAGAGGGCACAUCUCAGUGGACAUCUGCCUACUCUUCUUCUCAGCUGAAGCCUGCAUACUACACACCACAGCUCAGAAACAGGUUUAGAAGCCUCUGUUCCAGGGGAGCAGAUGAGGACCCUGUCAAGGCUGUGACAACCACAGCACAAAAAAGGAGGCCUCACCCAAUAAUAACAAUCAGGGAAGGCUCUGAUCACAACAACACCAACCACAUUCCCAGUCAAAGGGAUAACAGCCAAUACACAUGGAGGAAAGAAGAGGCAACCAUCCAUACUAAGAGCAGCCAUUGCAACAAAACCAUUAGAUGGACACAGUUUACACAAGAAUGCUCCCACUUUAAAUAAAAACAAACAAACAAAAAAUAAAAAAGCCCUUCAAGACCACAGUAGAUAAUUGAUACUCCUAAAUUCAUAGAGCCAGAGAAAUAUAAGUAAAAUGAAGAAGCAGAAGAACCACUCCCAAUUAAAAGAACAAGAGAAGUCCCUUGAAAGACUGAACAAUGAGAUAUCUACUAGCUCAUGACUUCAAAAGGGAAUGAUAAAAGCACUGAAGGAACUAAGAGAGAUUAUGAAUAGAAACAAAGAAUACUAUGAAAAGGAAAUUGAAACUAUAAAGAAGAGCCAAUUAAAAACAGAAAACUCAAUUUUUUAGAUAAGAGCCAAGCUAAAGGCAGUGAAAAGCAGACUAGAUAAUGCAGAGGAAUGAAUAAGUGACUUAGAAGACAGAAUAACAGAAGUCAUCCAAUCAGAACGGCAGACAGAAAAGCAAGUAAAAAUCUAUGAAAGCAAUAUAAAGGACCUAUGGGAUAAUAUAAAGCAUGCCAAUCUACACACAAUAGGGGUCCAGAAGGAGAAGAAAGAGAAAAGGAGAUUGAAAAGGGAUUCGAGGAAAUCAUGACUGAAAACUUUCCAGACCUAAAGAAGGAAUUAGAUAUCUAAGUACAGGAGGCACAGAGCAUUCCAAACAAGAACUCAAACAGAUCUACACCAAGACAUAUUAUAAUUAAGAUGGCCAAAGUUAAAGGAAUAAUUCUAAAGACAGCAGGAGAAAAGCAAAGAGUUAGUUACAAGGGAACCCCCAUAAGACUUUUGGCUGAUUUCUCUGCCCAAACACUGCUGGCCACAAGGGAGUGGCAAGAUAUAGGUUCAAAGUCCUGAAUGAGAAAAGGCUGCAA
Vicugna pacos (alpaca) is the source of this 6580-nucleotide non-coding RNA. Lineage: Eukaryota; Metazoa; Chordata; Mammalia; Artiodactyla; Camelidae. The record is from RefSeq and is a predicted model, not a curated record.